RNAcentral lists this ribosomal RNA (482 nucleotides) under uncultured bacterium. Its description in RNAcentral is "partial 16S ribosomal RNA". It matches the Rfam family "Bacterial small subunit ribosomal RNA", at positions 30 to 507 of the family's 1533-position model. The record is from RNAcentral.
AUUGAACGCUGGCGGCAUGCCUUACACAUGCAAGUCGAACGGUAACAGGUCUUCGGAUGCUGACGAGUGGCGAACGGGUGAGUAAUACAUCGGAACGUGCCCGAUCGUGGGGGAUAACGAAGCGAAAGCUUUGCUAAUACCGCAUACGAUCUACGGAUGAAAGCAGGGGACCGCAAGGGCUUGCGCGAACGGAGCGGCCGAUGGCAGAUUAGGUAGUUGGUGGGAUAAAAGCUUACCAAGCCGACGAUCUGUAGCUGGUCUGAGAGGACGACCAGCCACACUGGGACUGAGACACGGCCCAGACUCCUACGGGAGGCAGCAGUGGGGAAUUUUGGACAAUGGGCGAAAGCCUGAUCCAGCCAUGCCGCGUGCAGGAUGAAGGCCUUCGGGUUGUAAACUGCUUUUGUACGGAACGAAAAGACUCUGGUUAAUACCUGGGGUCCAUGACGGUACCGUAAGAAUAAGCACCGGCUAACUACGUG